This 8554-nucleotide long non-coding RNA is filed under the name Setaria viridis. Its description in RNAcentral is "long non-coding RNA (SVIR_LNC009628)". The record is from RNAcentral. Lineage: Eukaryota; Viridiplantae; Streptophyta; Magnoliopsida; Poales; Poaceae.
UUUUUAUUACUAACAACACAAGAGAUCUAUAAGGGCUAGUUCUUGACCUAAUAGUUCCAUUCCUCAACAUUUCAGUUAGUUGUUUCUCAAUUUCAGACUUUUGUGCAGGUGCAUACCUGUAAUGUCUGACAUUGACUGGCUGGGCUCCAGGGAUUAAGUCAAUAUGAUGAUCAUAUUGUCUUUCAGGAGGUAACGUGGUUGACUCUUUGAAUAGAUGCUUGUACUCAGUUAACAGCUGUUGUAUUUCAGGCUGAACUGCAGCUUGUUCAGGUUUUGUGACUGAAUGGACCAACCCUACUUCCUCUUUCAACUGGGACUUGGAAACCUGAGGAAACAUCUGCACACAAUGGGCGACAGCUUGCCUUCUUAAGAGGCCCUUGAAUUUUCUAGCACUGAUGGCAUUACAUUUUGUCACCUCAGGUUGAACCCCUUUCAGAGUGAUUCUCUUGCCUUUAUAAGUGAAUCUUAUGAUUUUCUUCUUCUAAUGCACCCACAUGGGACUGCAUUCUUCUAACUAAUCCUCUCCAACUAUCAUGUCAUAGCACUUAAGAGGUAAAAUACCAACAUCUGAUGAGAAUAUGUGUUUUUGAGAGACCCACUAUAAAUUAAGAAUUCUCUAGUGCAAGUCAUUGGGCUACCAUCAGCUGCCACAAAAUAAGCUGCUUCACAUUCUUGUGUUGUAUACUUCAAUUGGUUAGCCAAGUUCUCAGUAAUGAAAGACCCCACACUGCCUGAAUCUACAAGGAUCAGCGCCUCCUGAGUGCCUAUUAUGCCUUGCAACUUCAUAGUUCUCUUGAAAGUAACUUGAGAUUUACUGUCUCCAAUUGCCAUGACAACAUCAUUCUUCUGUUCAUCAUCACUUGGACAAGAGUCACAAUCUUUAGUAUGCUUCAGAGUAUCCAAUAAUUCUUCAAUCACGUUUAGAGAUACUUGUGAAGGGCACUUAUGGUUGUGGCCCCAUUUUCUCUCCACCCUUGUAAUAGAGCCCAUUCUUCUUUCUAAAUGCCAUCAGAGAUUUGACCUUUUCAUCAGAGUCACCUUUGUCAGCUUUGGAUUUGCUUGGCGCAGCUUUCUCAGAUCCCCCAAUCUUGUUUUUGUCAGGCACAAAGGAUGGCUUGUAAUUGGAUUUGUGGAAAUCCCUUGCCAUUGCUUUGCCUUGGCUUGCAGCAAUUUCUUCCUCUUGCAACAAGGCUAGGGAAGACGCUACCAACACAUCUUUUGGUUUGUGUAGGGCAAUCGCUGCUCUUAUUUCUUCUUUGAGGCGACCUAGAAAUCAGGUGACAAAAUAUGUGCCGUCAUACGCAGUGUUGUACAACAGAAUGCCAUGUGAUAGUUCCUCAAACUUCUCCAGGUACUUUGAAACAGAACCAGUCUGACGAAGGGCAUCAAGAUGACGAAGCUGCACCUAGUACUAGUCUCUGUCAUACCUGUCUAGAAUAGUAGCACAGAAUGUAUCCCAGUCCAGCACUCUGCCCCUGCGCUCAAAGGUUUGAAGCCAUGCCGCAGCAGUACCCUUGAGAUUGAAUGCCGUGAACCUUGUCUUCAGGGUUGGACUCACCGAAUACACCUCGAAAUACAUUUCACAGCGAUCAUGCCAUAGCCUCGGAUUAUCACCAUCAAAAUGGAAAAACUCGAGUUUGGGCAAGGGGGUUUGUCUGUCCCAAACUCUCGAUUCCUGGUAUGCGUGUCAAAUUGAAGGUGAGCUAGGUCAAGGAACGUACUCGUGACUGGGCGUGGCGGGUGAGAUCCAACGAUCCCACCGCUAGCAUCCUGUGGUGGAGCUAUGUUGAGGUUGAAAGGGUUGACCCAGCUUGGUGGCGGUGGAGGCGGAUGCCGUGGAAUCGGCAGUGGCGUCGACUCAAGUCGAUGUAGGCGAGUCGCCGCUUCCUUCGUCUUGUUCAGCAUGUUCCCAAGGUUUAUCCGCCAUGGAUUGCCAAGCCUCUAGACCGCUAAUCUUGUCCAAAGACUUCUGCAUCAUCAACUCAAAUCCCUCGAACUUCCUCGUGAGAUCCUCAAGAGUGGUCGCCAUUUGCGUCUGGACAUUCGUGGGCUUCCGGGGCGGCGCUAGGUCUCGCAAACUGGAUUUCGCGAAAUUUUUUUGUGGAAUUUGUGGUGGACUAGACCUGGGGGGGGGGGGGCAGGCCGUGCGACCGCCCGGGGCCCAUGAAGUCGGAGGGCCAUGACCAUAUAGAUACUUAGUACAUAUAAUUAUAUUGAUGAAUUUGUUUUAGUCUUUCUAAAUGACCCGCAUAACAAUUGGAGCCUGACUUCCCAAAUUACUCACUUGGCCCGCAUAGUAAUUACUUGCUAGGCCCGCUUAGUGAUCAGAGGCUUAGAGCAAACUGCCAGGCCAAGCUGCCAGGCCUGCCAAAUUGGUGAACGGAGGAUCAGACUCAGACUCCAACGUGGAGGAUCAGGCCUGCCUGUCUAGUCGUGAAUCAUACGUAUACCUGGUCCUGGUCGUAUACGCGCUCGCCGCCGCCGAUCCAAUCAUCGAUUCGUCGCCUCAUCGCCCGUCGGCUCCUGCUCGUUGCCUCGUUGACGGCAGGCAUACCGUAUAUGACCAGGAGUAAGCGAAAGCGAUCCAAUCCUGGUUGCGCCAAUCAUCGACGUCAGGUCUCAGGUUGCGCCGUUGCAAUCGAAGGUGUAGCUUUAAUUGGGGUACGUGACUUUAGCUGAUACGUUUUCAUUGAUUCACUUAGGAUGAACAGGCAAUUGAUGCGAUAUUCGUAUCUAGCUUCUUGGUUUUUGUAAACGAGGGCAGCAGUUGGUUAAUUACCAGCGUAAGCUACCCUGCAUUACCGAGCGCCGCAUCUUGGAUUCUUGGAGUGUGUCAGAGGCGAGCGCUUCUAUCUUUAUUUUCUUUUACGUCAAUUUCGUGAAAAAGCAAUCAUCUAAUUAAUAUUAUUUCUUCGUGUAGUAAUUCCAUCAUUCGUCAAUUGCGUAGAAGGAGCAGCCCGCAGACAACGUUUCGUACUUUCGUUUGACCGUCACCGUAAGCAACACGCCAAUUGAUUAGUAUUUCAAUUUUUUUUCUUAUUUGUUUUUUGUAUGCGCUAUGCUUAUACUGAUUGUGGUAGGAUUAAAAUUUCUAAUUCAAUGUAUUUAUUUGAAUAUGAUAGAUGUUGCCUAAGAAGCAUUUGUCGGGUGCUCAGAAAAGAAAAAAAAGAAAAUAAGAAGAUCAGUUCGUAGAAUCGCAGAGAUGUGCUCUACAUAAGCCCUUGUUUACUUCACCCCCAACUCCCAACUUUGGCACUAUGCAAAAAGAAGAUUCCCCAUCACAUCAAACUUGCGGUACAUGCAUGGAGUACUAAAUGUAGACGAAAUCAAAAACUAAUUGCACAGUUUUGUUGUACUUUGCGAGAUGAAUCUUUUAAGCCUAAUUAGUCAAUAUUUAGACAAUAAUUCAUAAAUACAAACGAAACGCUACAGUGUCGCAUUUAUGGCAGAAUGCCAAUUUUGCCACUCCCAAAUUGGCAAGUAAACAAGGCCUAAGUUUUUUUCAGUUACAAAUAAUGGUGAGAUCAGUGAAGAUCAGGGGCAGGAACAAGUUGCAGAAGUUGAUGCUAAUGAAGGUGCUACAGUAGGGCAUAAUUUAAAUGUUGAAGCUGAUGCCAAUGAUCAUACUCAGGCUCUGGGAGGUGAUACCUUACAACCUUCAGAUGAUACUGAAACUGCAAAUAUUGAUGAACAAGAAGAUUCAGUUUUGACUAUUUUUGAUCCUAGAACAUGGGAAAAUCUUGACAAUAGCAAAAAAGAUAUCUUAAUUGAGAAAGGACCUGUGAGAGAAAUGAAUCUACAAUUCCCUUGUGAUCCUAGUGGUAGACAUUUUUCUUAUGCUUACUAUUUCAGGAAAUUAUCUAAUGGUGAGUUUGUUGACAGAAAGUGGUUAGUUUAUUCUAAGCAUGUGGAUAAGGUUUAUUAUUUUUGCUGCAAGUUGUUCAAAUCAAAUCAGAACAAGUCAUUGUUAGCAUCUGAUGGAAUGAGAGAUUGGAAGCAUCUUAGUGAGAAACUGAAAACACAUGAGAACAGUGUGGAGCAUUUGUCAAACAUGAGUACAUGGAAUGAGGUUCGGCUUAGAUUAAGCAAAAAUGAAACAAUUGAUGAUGAAAUGCAACGGGAAAUUACAAAGGAAAAGGAGCGUUGGAGAUAGGUCCUGGUAAGAAUAGUUUCUGUUGUGAAGUUUCUUGCUAAACAAAAUCUAGCCUUUCGAGGAUCAAAUGAGAAAGUUUAUGAACGUAACAAUGGUAAUUUUCUAGCCACAGUUGAAAUGAUUGAUGAAUUUGAUCUUGUAAUGCAAGAACAUAUUAGGCGCAUUCAAAGUAAUGAAAUUCAUCAUCAUUAUCUUGGCCAUAAUAUUCAGAAUGAGUUAAUUUCUAUUCUUGCUGAUGCUGUGAAAAAUCAUAUCUUAAAGAUUAUCAAAGAUGCCAAGUAUUUCUCUGUUAUCUUGGAUUGUACCCCAGAUGUGAGCCAUGAAGAACAAAUAACAUUAAUUGUGCGUUGUGUUAAUAUGUCAAGUACCAUUCCAAGAGUAGAGGAAUUUUUCUUGGAGUUCUUACAGGUUCAUGACACAUCUGGUUUGGGGCUUUUUAAUGUUUUGUUGGAUGCACUUCGGUCUAUUGAUUUGAACGUUGAUAAUGUGAGAGGUCAAGGUUAUGAUAGUGGUUCAAAUAUGAAGGGAGAACAUCAAGGUGUGAAGACACGUUUGCUUGAAAUUAAUCCAAGAGCAUUAUAUAUGCCGUGUGCAUCUCAUAGUCUGAAUCUCACUCUUUGUGAUAUGGCAAAAGCUUCCAAGACAGCUAUUUCAUUCUUCGGUGUUAUACAACGGAUAUAUUGUUUGUUUGCACGCUCUACUAAAAGGUGGAAAAUUUUGACUGAUAAUGUUGAGAGGUUUACUGUCAAACCCUUAUCUAAUACUCAUUGGGAGAGUCGAAUAAAGAGUGUUCAACCUAUCAGGUAUCAAGCCCCACAAAUAAUAUCAGCAUUGAAGGAAGUGGAAAGAACUGCUACUGAUGAUCCAAAAACAGUAAGUGAUGCUCAAUGAUUAGUAACUGUACUUGAGAAAUUUGAAUUUAUAGUUGGUAUGAUUAUCUGGGAUGAUAUUUUAUCUACUAUCAAUAUUGUGAGCAAAAAGUUACAAUCUAAGAUUGUAUGCUUAGAUGCUACUCUCAAACAAAUUGAGGGGCUCAUCUCAUAUUUUCAGAAGUACAGAGAAGAAGGCUUCAAUGCUAGUAUUGAGACUGCAAAAUCUAUUGCAUCUAGUAUGGACAUAGAGCCAAAAUUUCCUACAAAACAUCAAGGUAAAAGAAAGAAGCAUUUUGAUGAACAAAAUGAUGAAACUGAAGAAUUACAACUUUCAGCUAUAGAUGAGUUCAAAGUUAAUUACUUCCUAGUUAUUGUGGAUGCUGCUAUUUCUUCAUUGACUAGUCGAUUUGAACAGCUAAAGAAAUUUGAAGAAAUAUUUGGUUUCUUAUUCAACUCAGAAAAUCUGAAGUCCUUGGAUGAUAAUGAUCUACGAAAGUGCUGCACUACUUUUGCAAAAUCUUUUUCUCAUGAUAACAAGUCUGAUGUUGACUUGGAUGAUUUUUUCUCUAAAUUAAAAGUGUUGCAAGUAUCUGUGCCAGAGCAACUGAUGUCAGCAUCCGAGAUUCUGCAAUUUGUUAAAGUUGCAGAUUGCUACCCGAAUGUCUCCAUUGCAUAUCGAAUUCUCUUAACUAUUCCAGUGACAGUAGCAUUAGCCGAAAGAAGUUUCUCCAAAUUGAAACUAUUGAGAAAUUAUUUGAGAUCAACUAUGUCACAAGAAAGAUUGAAUGGCUUGGCUAUAUGCAGCAUUGAGAAGGAUAUUUUGGACGGCAUUAAUCUUGAUACCAUUCUUGAAGAUUUUGUAUCAAGAAAUGCUCGAAGAUGGUUUUUUACAAAGAACUGGAGCAUUAUAUUUUUAUUUGAGGUAAUCAUAAUGGUUAUUAUUUUUAGUUUUUUGUUGCACUAUUGUUAUGUUUUAUGAGCUAUAUAUAUUGCAAAGUAGUUUUAUUAUUUGUACCGUAUACUUAAGUUUUCAUAUUAAAAAGUAGUUCAACGGGCCCUUAUCUUCGUCCUUGCUCACGGGCCCUUCAAAUUAUAGCUUAUCUUCGUCCUUGCUCACGGGCCCUUCAAAUUAUAGAGCUGGCCCUGUCUUAUACUCGCUUACCAGGCUCUCGGCUCGCACACCUGCUUGCACCAUACACGGCCCACGGCGCAUACAAACCAGCCCAGCACAUGGCCCAUGACGCUAACCACUAUGCUUCUUCCUUGAGCUCAGCAGGGUCAUAACAGAUCCAUCCAGCGUACGUAUUGCCUGAUCGAUCUGGCCGAUCGAUGCCGUGUCUUCGCUUUGCCCGAGAUCAUCGUACGUUGCUGCAGGGUAAGGUCGCCAUCCUUCUGCAAACAGACUGCGUGUCUUCUUUCUGUUCAUUCAGGAACCUCUGCGCUUCAGACAAAUGUAGUUCCAGUUCAUGGCCUCGGCCACUACUUUUGUGCGCUGGGGGUUCAGAGCAUACCUGGGCUAGCGUGGGCUCCAAGCCUAGCAAAGCAUAAGCCCGGCCCAGAGGAUGAAUGACCCAAAGUACCUUUUCUUUUCUUUUAGUUCUUUGUUUGCGUGGUUCUUUUCUUUUAGUUAGCGCCAUUGGAUAUGUCAUAUUUCUUUUACAAGCACAAUACUCUGUAUUUGUUAAAUCCGGUUCUGCGUGAGAGUAUUUAAUUUCAUCAAUUCUUAUUUUAACGGAAUUCGAGCUUGCCCGCUCUGAAAAAUGUGCAACCACAUGGUCUGCCAUUCCUUCUCAGCUACGCGUGGAGUAUACCGUAUAUUGGGUAGUAACCGGUCGUAUAUCGGUACACUUCAUACGAUGAUACGAGCACUGGCGGAGCCAAGCCCGGCCACCCUGGGCAUCUGCCCGGGCUCAUCACCUGCCAGGGCUCAUCACCUGUCCAAACCAUUAGCUAAUUUAGUGUUCCACUGUUGGUUAGCACUAGUUGUAUACCCGGAGAGUGGAGACGCCCAGACUCAUCGAAGUCGCUGGCUCCGCCACUGGAUACGAGGUUCAUAGAUAUUAUUAUAUAUCUAGACUGCACUAUAUCUUUAUACAUAAUAAUAUACAUGCACCUAUAUCUAUAUGCAUAAUAAUAUAUAUGUACCUAGCUAAAACGAUCUAAUACUCCCUCCGUCCCAAAUUGUAGAUUGUUUUAACAUUUCUAGAUUCAUAGAUUUUGUUAUGCAUGUAGGUAUAUAUUAUGUCUAGGUUUAUAGCAAACAUUAUGAAUCUAGAAAAUACCAAAAUGAAAUACGAUAUUUCGGAAACGGAGGAAGCAGGAAAAAAGGUGCCGUAGCACGAGUACAAGUAUAGAUACUUUGUGGACCCUGGAUAGAAGCACAACAAACUCUACUUGCUCACUACUCCAAGCAAAUCGCUAAGAGACACACACACACGUGGUGACGCGGCACAUGAGGCUGCGGACUCCCGGUCACCCGCUACCCCAUGCAAUGCAAAUGCAUUCCUCCGACGAUCCACAUCCAGGACGAAACAUGCAGCAUCAUCUACCGACAACAAUCAUUAUUACCUUUUUUUCCGAAGGGGCUGGAUCCCAUAUAUUAAAAGAGCCGGGCUCUUACAGCAAACACCCUGGAGGAAAGAAGAUUUACAAACAAGUCCACAUCAUCCAUCCUCCAGAAACGAAACUUUGCGUACAAGACCCUGACAGAAAUCAGAUUUGAAAUUGAGGUCCUUAGAUCUUGACGCAGAACUCCUGCACAUCGCACCGCUUCUGGUUCCGCCGGAGUCGGAGAAGAGGUACGACAGCAAAGAGAAGAACUCCACCGAGACCGUCGAUGAGACCUCCAGCUUGAAGCCGCAAGACAUUCCCCCUCCGGCGCACAUCGGCUGUCAUCGUGUUGAUCUUGAUCUUGGACCGGCGGCACCGAUGAAAUCGGCGACCCAGAAAAGAUCCGAACUGCUAGCACCAGCAGUCCGGAAAGGAGCCCCAAGAAAGGGAAAACCAGUCCCCCUUAUCCAAGACAAAGGAGAACACAAGUAACCUCACAGGAUGAACCACGAAGAACACCUCGUCGGAAUCGCCAUGGAGGACCAAAAUCUUCACUCGGCCACCGGGGAUCCUACCGCCGGAGACGAAGCUAAGGAAACCGAAGCACCACGCAGCUGCCUCGCCGAAGCCGAUGCCGGAUCCACCGCCAUCACCAUCGAAGAAUAGAUGGAUGCACUUUAUUUGCCGGAACAGUGGCAGCACCACCACCGGAACCCUAAGCUCCCUCGCCAACGACGGCGAUGAGCAACCCUAGCCUACUAGACUAUACACCCUAGCAGCUAAAACUACUCCAGCCGUCGAUCCGCCAUUUCCCCCAUCCGCUCCGGCGUCGGAAAGGCCGUCGGAGGGAGGGGAACGGCCAGAUCGACGCCGGAAAUGGCACCGCCCUUUUCGCCUGCUCUUUACUGUAGAAGGGGAAAAGAGAACAAUCAUUAUUACUUAUGUCUUAUAAAUCCAAUUUUGGAUCAUAUACGUGCGU